UACAGAGGUGGCAAGCGUUGUUCGGAAUUACUGGGCGUAAAGGGCGCGUAGGCGGCCUCCUAAGUCGGACGUGAAAGCCCCAGGCUUAACCUGGGAACUGCGUCCGAUACUGGGAGGCUUGGAUUCGGGAGAGGGUAGCGGAAUUCACGGUGUAGCAGUGAAAUGCGUAGAUAUCGUGAGGAACACCAGUGGCGAAAGCGGCGCUCUGGGCCUAAACUGACGCUGAGGGGCGAAAGCGUGGGGAGCGAACGGG
RNAcentral lists this ribosomal RNA (253 nucleotides) under uncultured bacterium. RNAcentral describes it as "partial 16S ribosomal RNA". It matches the Rfam family "Bacterial small subunit ribosomal RNA", at positions 524 to 776 of the family's 1533-position model. The record is from RNAcentral.